Molecule: ribosomal RNA, 497 nt
Filed under: uncultured bacterium
Lineage: Bacteria
Description: partial 16S ribosomal RNA
Rfam family: Bacterial small subunit ribosomal RNA
Source: RNAcentral
GACGAACGCUGGCGGCGUGCCUAAUACAUGCAAGUUGAGCGAUGAAGAUUGGUGCUUGCACCAAUUUGAAGAGCAGCGAACGGGUGAGUAACGCGUGGGGAAUCUGCCUUUGAGCGGGGGACAACAUUUGGAAACGAAUGCUAAUACCGCAUAACAACUUUAAACAUAAGUUUUAAGUUUGAAAGAUGCAAUUGCAUCACUCAAAGAUGAUCCCGCGUUGUAUUAGCUAGUUGGUGAGGUAAAGGCUCACCAAGGCGAUGAUACAUAGCCGACCUGAGAGGGUGAUCGGCCACAUUGGGACUGAGACACGGCCCAAACUCCUACGGGAGGCAGCAGUAGGGAAUCUUCGGCAAUGGACGAAAGUCUGACCGAGCAACGCCGCGUGAGUGAAGAAGGUUGUCGGAUCGUAAAACUCUGCUGGUAGAGAAGAACGUUGGUGAGAGUGGAAAGCUCAUCAAGUGACGGUAACUACCCAGAAAGGGACGGCUAACUACGUG